Molecule: ribosomal RNA, 593 nt
Filed under: uncultured Thelephoraceae
Lineage: Eukaryota; Fungi; Basidiomycota; Agaricomycetes; Thelephorales; Thelephoraceae
Description: eukaryotic LSU rRNA
Rfam family: 5.8S ribosomal RNA (bases 175-329)
Source: RNAcentral
GUCCUCGUAUGGGGGGCAUGUGCACGCUCUGUUUACACAUCCAUUCACACCUGUGCACUCGCCGUAGUUCUAUGGUCUGGGAGACCCUGUCUUCCUCCUGUAGGCCUACUUUUUUACAUACACGCUGUAACAAAGUUUUAUGGAAUGUGUUCUGCGUUUAACGCAAUACAGUACAACUUUCAGCAACGGAUCUCUUGGCUCUCGCAUCGAUGAAGAACGCAGCGAAAUGCGAUAAGUAAUGUGAAUUGCAGAAUUCAGUGAAUCAUCGAAUCUUUGAACGCACCUUGCGCCCCUUGGCUAUUCCAAAGGGCAUGCCUGUUUGAGUAUCGUGAACACCUCAACUCUCAUGGCUUUGCUGUGAUGAGCUUGGACUUUGGGGGUUUUGCUGGCCUUGAGGUCGGCUCCUCUCAAAUGGAUCAGCCUACCAGUGUUUGGUGGCGUCGCAGGUGUGAUAACUAUCUACGCUUGCAGUCGUCUGCUAGGUAACCCUCAGCGAUGGGGGUUCGCUGGAGCUUACAAACGUCCUCCCACCGGGGACAGCUUUGAACGUUCGAUCUCAAAUCAGGUAGGACUACCCGCUGAACUUAAGCAUA